This is an RNA transcript of Nomascus leucogenys (northern white-cheeked gibbon), 1376 nucleotides long. It is a transcript of the gene named nucleosome assembly protein 1-like 4 pseudogene, with no coding region annotated. Lineage: Eukaryota; Metazoa; Chordata; Mammalia; Primates; Hylobatidae. The record is from RefSeq and is a predicted model, not a curated record. The transcript has a single exon.
AUGGGCGGCGUGUGCUCGCUCCCCGAGGACUGGCCUGAGUGCCUUAGCCUAGUUACUCAUGGGACUUGGUUUACCAGACAAGGGGAUAAAAACAUUCAGACGGCAGAAUACAGUUUUUCAGAUGGGGUUCCUUCAGAUUUCGUGGAAGCUGCUAAAAAUGCAAGUAAGAUGGAAAAGCUCAUGGAUCAGGUGAUGCAGAAUCCUGGAGUUUUGGCAGCUUUACAGGAGCGACUUGACAAUGCCAGCGACUUGACAACCCCUUCCAGCUACAUCGAAACUUUACCUAAAGCUAAAAAGAAGAAUUAAUGCAUUGAAACCAAUUCAGGUGAGAUGCGCUCAUAUAGGAGCCAAGUUAUUUGAAGAAGUUCAUGACUUGGAAAGAAAAUAUGCAGCAUUAUACCAGCCUCUCUUUGACAAGAGAAGAGAAUUUAUCACCGGUGAUGUUGAACCAACAUCUGAUAUGGAAUCAGAAUGGCACAGUGAAAAUGAAGAGGAGGAGAAAUUGGCUGGAGACAUGAAAAAUAAAGUAGUCAUAACAGAAAAAGCAGCAGCAACAGCUGAAUAGCCAAAUCCCAAAGGAAUUCCAGAGUUCUGGUUUACCAUAUUUAGAAAUGUAGAUAUGCUAAGUGAAUUGGUCCAGGAAUAUGAUGAACCAAUCUUGAAACACCUGCAGGAUAUUAAAGUGAAGUUUUCUGACCCUGGACAGCCUAUGUCUUUUAUAUUAAGAGUUUCACUUUGAACCCAACGACUACUUUGCCAACUCAGUCCUGAGAAAAACCUGCAAGAUGAAAUCAGAACCAGAUAAGGCUGAUCCCUUUUUAUUUGCAGGUCCUGAGAUCAUGGACUGCGACGGGUAUACUAUUGACUGGAAGAAAGGAAAGAAUGUUAUUGUCAAAACCAUCAAGAAAAAGCAGAAGCGUAAGGGUCCAGGCACUGUUAGAACAAUUACCAAACAAGUAUCCAAUGAGUCAUUUUUCAACUUCUUCAAUCCACUGAAAGCAUCUGGGGAUAGAGAAUCACUGGAUAAAGAUUCUGAAUUCGUAUUAGCCUCUGAUUUUGAAAUUGGACACUUUUUCUGUGAGCGGAUAGUCCCGCAGGCUGUGCUGUACUUCACUGGAGAGGCCUUAGAGGAUGACGACAAUUUUGACGAAGAUGAAGAAGAGGGCGAAUUAGAAGGUAACGAGGAGGGAGAAGAUGAGGAUGAGGUAGAAAUUAAUCCCAACAAGGAACCCAGCCAGCCGGCGGAAUGCAAGCAGCAGCAGGAAGUGGAGGUAGGCGCCUGGCAGACCGGCUGUCGCGACUCCGGGCCUGUGGGGGGAGGCCUCAGUCUUUGCCGCAUGCGGCACAAUACCGUCGACAGCGCUUACUCCGUCUAA